Molecule: ribosomal RNA, 480 nt
Filed under: uncultured bacterium
Lineage: Bacteria
Description: bacterial SSU rRNA
Rfam family: Bacterial small subunit ribosomal RNA
Source: RNAcentral
GAACGCUGGCGGCGUGCUUAACACAUGCAAGUCGAACGAAGCAUUUAAGACAGAUUUCUUCGGAAUUGAAGUUUUUUAUGACUGAGUGGCGGACGGGUGAGUAACGCGUGGGUAACCUGCCUCACACAGGGGGGAUAGCAGUUGGAAACGACUGGUAAUACCGCAUAAGCGCACAGCUUCGCAUGAAGCGGUGUGAAAAACUCCGGUGGUGUGAGAUGGACCCGCGUCUGAUUAGGUAGUUGGUGAGGUAACGGCCCACCAAGCCGACGAUCAGUAGCCGACCUGAGAGGGUGACCGGCCACAUUGGGACUGAGACACGGCCCAGACUCCUACGGGAGGCAGCAGUGGGGAAUAUUGCACAAUGGAGGAAACUCUGAUGCAGCGACGCCGCGUGAGUGAAGAAGUAUUUCGGUAUGUAAAGCUCUAUCAGCAGGGAAGACAGUGACGGUACCUGACUAAGAAGCUCCGGCUAAAUACGUG